GCAAGUCGAACGAGAGAAGAAGAGCUUGCUUUUCUGAUCGAGUGGCGAACGGGUGAGUAACGCGUGAGGAACCUGCCUCAAAGAGGGGGACAACAGUUGGAAACGACUGCUAAUACCGCAUAAGCCCACGGGUCGGCAUCGACCUGAGGGAAAAGGAGUGAUCCGCUUUGAGAUGGCCUCGCGUCCGAUUAGCUAGUUGGUGAGGUAAUGGCCCACCAAGGCGACGAUCGGUAGCCGGACUGAGAGGUUGAAC
RNAcentral lists this ribosomal RNA (253 nucleotides) under uncultured bacterium. RNAcentral's name for it is "partial 16S ribosomal RNA". It matches the Rfam family "Bacterial small subunit ribosomal RNA", at positions 57 to 305 of the family's 1533-position model. The record is from RNAcentral.